RNAcentral lists this ribosomal RNA (642 nucleotides) under uncultured archaeon. RNAcentral's name for it is "bacterial SSU rRNA". It matches the Rfam family "Archaeal small subunit ribosomal RNA", at positions 1 to 643 of the family's 1478-position model. The record is from RNAcentral.
UCCGGUUGAUCCUGCCGGAGGCCACUGCUAUGGGGGUCCGACUAAGCCAUGCGAGUCAUGGGGCGCCUUGCGCGCACCGGCGGACGGCUCAGUAACACGUCGGUAACCUACCCUCGGGAGGGGGAUAACCCCGGGAAACUGGGGCUAAUCCCCCGUAGGCCUGAGGUACUGGAAGGUCCUCAGGCCGAAAGGGUCUUUGACCGCCCGAGGAUGGGCCGGCGGCCGAUUAGGUAGUUGGUGGGGUAACGGCCCACCAAGCCGAAGAUCGGUACGGGCCAUGAGAGUGGGAGCCCGGAGAUGGACACUGAGACACGGGUCCAGGCCCUACGGGGCGCAGCAGGCGCGAAACCUCCGCAAUGCUCGAAAGAGCGACGGGGGGACCCCCAGUGCCGUGGCAUCGCCACGGCUUUUCCGGAGUGUAAAGAGCUCCGGGAAUAAGGGCUGGGCAAGGCCGGUGGCGGCCGCCGCGGUAAUACCGGCGGCCCGAGUGGUGGCCGCUAUUAUUGGGCCUAAAGCGUCCGUAGCCGGGCCAGUAAGUCCCUGGCGAAAUCCCACGGCUCAACCGUGGGCUUGCUGGGGAUACUGCUGGCCUUGGGACCGGGAGAGGCGGAGGGUACUCCUGGGGUAGGGGUGAAAUCCAUA